GUGACCCUACGGGGCGCAGCAGCCGCGGUAAUACGUAGGUCCCGAGCGUUGUCCGGAUUUAUUGGGCGUAAAGCGAGCGCAGGUGGUUUAUUAAGUCUGGUGUAAAAGGCAGUGGCUCAACCAUUGUAUGCAUUGGAAACUGGUAGACUUGAGUGCAGGAGAGGAGAGUGGAAUUCCAUGUGUAGCGGUGAAAUGCGUAGAUAUAUGGAGGAACACCGGUGGCGAAAGCGGCUCUCUGGCCUGUAACUGACACUGAGGCUCGAAAGCGUGGGGAGCAAACAGGAUUAGAAACCCCGGUAGUCCUG
This 305-nucleotide ribosomal RNA is filed under the name uncultured bacterium. Its description in RNAcentral is "bacterial SSU rRNA". It matches the Rfam family "Bacterial small subunit ribosomal RNA", at positions 488 to 798 of the family's 1533-position model. The record is from RNAcentral.